GAUGAAGAACGCAGCGAAAUGCGAUACGUAAUGUGAAUUGCAGAAUUCAGUGAAUCAUCGAAUCUUCGAACGCAUAUUGCGCUCUUUGGUAUUCCGAAGAGCAUGCUUGUUUGAGUAUCAGUAAACACCUCAAGACUUCAAUUUGUUUUGAAUGGCUUUGGACUUGAGCAAUCCCAACACCAGUCUUUACGAUCGGUGGAGGGUUGCUUGAAAUGCAGGUGCAGCUGGACAUUCUCCUGAGCUAAAAGCAUAUUUAUUUAGUCCCGUCAAACGGAUUAUUACUUUUGCUGCAGCUAACAUAAAGGGAGUUUGACCGUAUUGGCUGACUGAUGCAGGAUUUCACAAGGGUCGGCAACGAUUCUUGUAAAACUCGAUCUCAAAUCAAGUAAGACUACCCGCUGAACUUAAGCAUAUCAAUAAGCGGAGGA
This 428-nucleotide unclassified non-coding RNA is filed under the name soil metagenome. Its description in RNAcentral is "partial contains 5.8S ribosomal RNA, internal transcribed spacer 2, and large subunit ribosomal RNA". The stretch from base 1 to 120 matches the Rfam family "5.8S ribosomal RNA", at positions 35 to 154 of the family's 154-position model. The record is from RNAcentral.